This 207-nucleotide long non-coding RNA is filed under the name Elaeis guineensis (African oil palm). Its description in RNAcentral is "long non-coding RNA (EGUI_LNC035001)". The record is from RNAcentral. Lineage: Eukaryota; Viridiplantae; Streptophyta; Magnoliopsida; Arecales; Arecaceae.
UGCUGGUUGCUCAUAGCCGCACAUGUGUCCAACCUCUACGAAAAUUUCACUCGAAGCUCUGAUUUGAUCGAUCUUCUCGAGAGUGCUAGUUCGUGUGAAGACCUUCUUUUUGACUGAUCUGAAUCUUUUUUUUAAAUCUUUAGAAUCUUUCUAGAGGUUAAAGAUAGACUUCUAGAGGAGAUGAAGAGGUAGAAGAAAGAUGGAGAA